UAUAUAUUUUUCAUUUGAUAUUUUGUUAUGCCCUUUCUGAAAUAUAGCCCAAAUAUUACAGUUAACUUUUUAGACAGCUUGUUAAUCACAAGUGCUACCAGCUGUUUCGAUUUUGCUUGAAUCAACACAAAGGAUAAAACAAACAUCGAAUUCUUGCAGAGGAAGGCUAGGUGUCUCUGAAUCGUGUUUAAAUAUGUAAAUGAGUGCUCUUCACUGUGUUAGUUCAGUACAUGUAAAUUGUAUACUAGUGGUGCCAUCGGAGAACGCAUUGGCUUUUGCCACCCAGAAGAACGUUUAUUAUUGUUGUGACGUCAUGGUGAAUUGUCGUAUAGAAAUUGACACUUUUAUGAUUUUACCUGGUUACACCCCCCUGGCUUUCAAUCAGACAGCAGGUCCUGUUAAUUCCUGGUUUGCUUAGCUCAGUGGAGAUAAAUUCAAGAGGCAGCAAUUGCCCAGAGCACCUGCCUUGUAAAGACUUCUCAUUGAGCUGCAUUGGGAAAUCUGUGAUUGGACAGUCACAAAAGGUCUGGGUGGAGUUAGAAGGGGAGGAGGCUUGCAAAGGCUGCAGACAAGACAUCUGCAGCUUUUGCAAGCUAUUUUUGGUUAUAUGCCUAUUAAAAAAAUGCAUAAUUAAAUGCAAGUAAGUUUUCAUUGGGAGUAUAUCUACUAAACAGUUUUAUUUUUAAAACAUUUUUAUUUGGGCAGUUGCUAAGUGCCUGCUGUAAUAAUUCUAGGUUGCAUGAGAGAGGGAAACCUAUGAUGAACACAACCUGUGUUACCACCUGAUUUUCCUCCAAAGAGCUACAAAUACACCCCUGAAUCAAAUACUGCAUGCACUCGCUCACUGAAAGUCCACACAAAGCUAGUGAUUCCUUUGGUAAAAUUCCACACAAACACUACCCUAUAUUUACAUACUCGAGACACUGUACACAUAUUAACCCUUGUAUUCACACACUUUGAUAUAUAGAAAAAAUACUCUUAGUUCACACACACAUAUUCUGACAGUUCACACACACAGUGACACAAUACGCAAACACUCCUGCACUUACACAAUCAUUGUAAUGCCACACAAAAACAGUCCUGCAUUCUAACAUGCAUACUGACACUUCAUAUACACCUGUAUUCACAUACACACUUACAUAUACUCCACGCAUAUACCACUUUAUUCCAAUACUCACACAUGCACUGUGCAUAAGAUUUUACACUUCGUUAUUAAGGCAUAAGUUUUGUUGCAAUUUGGUUGUCAUUUCAAUGUGAGAAACUGCUCAGUUAAUUAAUCCCACAGCCUUCCAUUGUAUUUAUCUGUAAGUGUUCUAAAAAAUCACUCUCACAUCAAAAAUGACAAUUCUAUCUAAAGAUACUCUCAAAAAAAAAAAAUACAUUUCUAACAGCUGACAUUCCCGAAAGCACACGAGAGAUUCUCCUAAACCAUUUAUUCUAUUGAAUUUGUAGUGAGUUAGUGGCACAAAAAUAUUUAUAUAUCGCUAGCUAUUUCUUUGACAAACCGUGAGAGAUCUGUCCCUAUUAUUAUUCUAAUAUUUUAAAAUUGACAGAAACAAAAUCAUCGUACCUGAAACUUAUACCCGCAUUUACUGUCGCAUAUUGGUAGAAAAGCUGGCAGAGGAGGAUAAUUUGUAGAACGAAUACACUUCGUUAAUUAAUGGGAAAAAAAA
Molecule: long non-coding RNA, 1673 nt
Filed under: Pelobates cultripes (western spadefoot toad)
Lineage: Eukaryota; Metazoa; Chordata; Amphibia; Anura; Pelobatidae
Source: RNAcentral